This 442-nucleotide ribosomal RNA is filed under the name uncultured bacterium. Its description in RNAcentral is "partial 16S ribosomal RNA". It matches the Rfam family "Bacterial small subunit ribosomal RNA", at positions 339 to 795 of the family's 1533-position model. The record is from RNAcentral.
CUACGGGGGGCUCCAGUGGGGAAUAUUGGGCAAUGGGCGCAAGCCUGACCCAGCAACGCCGCGUGAGGGAAGAAGGUUUUCGGAUUGUAAACCUCUGUCCUUGGGGACGAAAAAAAUGACGGUACCCAAGGAGGAAGCUCCGGCUAACUACGUGCCAGCAGCCGCGGUAAUACGUAGGGAGCGAGCGUUGUCCGGAAUUACUGGGCGUAAAGGGUGCGUAGGCGGCGUAUUAAGUCAGGUGUGAAAUAUUCGGGCUCAACCCGAAGGGUGCAUUUGAAACUGGUAUGCUUGAGUGUGAGAGAGGAAAGUGGAAUUCCUAGUGUAGCGGUGAAAUGCGUAGAUAUUAGGAGGAACACCAGUGGCGAAGGCGACUUUCUGGCUCAUAACUGACGCUGAGGCACGAAAGCGUGGGUAGCAAACAGGAUUAGAUACCCUCGUAGUC